UUUCCCAUGGAAUUUCUCUCCACUGAGUUAUGGAGAGUUUCCAUGGAGACCAACAAAGAGGCAAGUGACAGCUGCAUCACUUACAAAACAUAAACAACAUUGAACUACAUUUGGGAUUGAGGAUGCGGUUCCUGAAAAGGCGUCCACAAUAAAAUUUGCUGUUUAUUGAGAUAUACUCUCAAUAAAUAGCAAAAAACAAAGAUUCCGGAUGACUGGGAAAUGGAAAGGAAUUCGGACGAGGACAAGGAACGAGAGGUACAAGGGAUGCUGAGAUGGGUAUGGGAGGCAGUUCACCAGGCAUCCGGAACAUUCCUUUUCUUUCAAGUUUUUUAAAUCUCUUUUAAUUUCAAAUUUGUCUUCUUUAGUUUUUUUUUCAGUUUUCAAUUUUAAGUUCAAUUUCGAUUUUUAUUUUUUUUUUAAUUUCCUUUAAUGUCAAUUUUUAAAUUCUCUUAAAUUAAAAUUGUUUGUUCUUUAGUUUUUUUUCUUUCAAUUUUCAAAUUUUAUUUAAUUUCCAUAAUUUAAUUCGGGCCGCCGGGAAUCAAGCUAUUAAAAAAAUACCACUGAGUAAAUCCCUAUACUUCGAUAAUUUAACAGACUCACCACCUGUUCUUGUUAUUUGCUUGGUUUUAUCCCGAAUAGUUGGCACCAAUUGAAAUUCCACUUAGUUUUCACUUACUUAAACACCUUUUUUUUCCUAUAAGGAAUUAAUUCUUAUAUUUGUGUUUAAAACCAAUUAAUUAAAAAACUAACUUUAUCAGAAAUAUAAGUUUGCUGGUCCAACUG
Eupeodes corollae is the source of this 783-nucleotide long non-coding RNA. RefSeq lists it as uncharacterized. The transcript is spliced from 3 exons. Lineage: Eukaryota; Metazoa; Arthropoda; Insecta; Diptera; Syrphidae. The record is from RefSeq and is a predicted model, not a curated record.